UACUACUUGGAUAACCGUAGUAAUUCUAGAGCUAAUACAUGCGUCGAUACCCUUCUGGGGUAGUAUUUAUUAGAUGGAAACCAACCCCUUCGGGGUGAUGUGGUGAUUCAUAAUAAGUUUGCGGAUCGCCGGUGGCGAUGGAUCAUUCAAGUUUCUGCCCUAUCAGCUUUGGAUGGUAGGGUAUUGGCCUACCAUGGCAUUAACGGGUAACGGAGAAUUGGGGUUCGAUUCCGGAGAGGGAGCCUGAGAGACGGCUACCACAUCUAAGGAAGG
Molecule: ribosomal RNA, 273 nt
Filed under: Alexandrium tamarense
Lineage: Eukaryota; Dinophyceae; Gonyaulacales; Pyrocystaceae
Description: partial Eukaryotic small subunit ribosomal RNA
Rfam family: Eukaryotic small subunit ribosomal RNA
Source: RNAcentral